RNAcentral lists this ribosomal RNA (1013 nucleotides) under uncultured bacterium. RNAcentral describes it as "bacterial SSU rRNA". It matches the Rfam family "Bacterial small subunit ribosomal RNA", at positions 32 to 1054 of the family's 1533-position model. The record is from RNAcentral.
GUGGCGUGCGGGUAGCCUACAAUGCAGUCGACGGGAUUGAGAGCUUGCUCUCAUGAGAGUGGCGCACGGGUGAGUAACGCGUAUGCAACCUACCUUUAACUGAGGGAUAGCCCAUAGAAAUGUGGAUUAAUACCUCAUAGUUCUUUUGAUCCGCAUGGAUUAAAAGAUAAAGCUCCGGCGGUUAAAGAUGGGCAUGCGUGACAUUAGCUAGUUGGUAAGGUAACGGCUUACCAAGGCUACGAUGUCUAGGGGUUCUGAGAGGAUGAUCCCCCACACUGGUACUGAGACACGGACCAGACUCCUACGGGAGGCAGCAGUGAGGAAUAUUGGUCAAUGGGCGCAAGCCUGAACCAGCCAUCCCGCGUGCAGGAUGAAGGCCCUAUGGGUCGUAAACUGCUUUUAUACACCAAGAAAAACACCCACGUGUGGGUGCCCGACGGUAGUGUAUGAAUAAGCAUCGGCUAACUCCGUGCCAGCAGCCGCGGUAAUACGGAGGAUGCAAGCGUUAUCCGGAUUCAUUGGGUUUAAAGGGUGCGUAGGCGGCUUUUUAAGUCAGUGGUGAAAUCUUGCCGCUUAACGGUAAAAUUGCCAUUGAUACUGAUAAGCUUGAGUACAAUUGAGGUAAGCGGAAUGUGUAGUGUAGCGGUGAAAUGCUUAGAUAUUACACAGAACACCGAUUGCGAAGGCAGCUUACUAAACUGUUACUGACGCUGAUGCACGAAAGCGUGGGGAGCGAACAGGAUUAGAUACCCUGGUAGUCCACGCCGUAAACGAUGAUCACUCGCUGUAUGCGAUACACAGUAUGCGGCCAAGCGAAAGCAUUAAGUGAUCCACCUGGGGAGUACGAUCGCAAGGUUGAAACUCAAAGGAAUUGACGGGGGCCCGCACAAGCGGAGGAACAUGUGGUUUAAUUCGAUGAUACGCGAGGAACCUUACCUGGGCUUAAAUGGGGAACGACAGCUGCCGAAAGGUGGCCUUCUUCGGACGUUCUUCAAGGUGCUGCAUGGUUGUCG